Molecule: long non-coding RNA, 590 nt
Organism: Anguilla anguilla (European eel)
Lineage: Eukaryota; Metazoa; Chordata; Actinopteri; Anguilliformes; Anguillidae
Exons: 2
Source: RefSeq, a predicted model, not a curated record
UGUCCCUUGUGUAGACUUUAUUUAAGGUGAGAGUUUUGAGUUUGAUAAAGAUAAAGUGAUGGCCAAAAGAGAAGAUUACCUGAGCGACCUUCAUGCAUCAUUCUGAGAACGACAGCCAGCCUCCCUACCCCCAACCCCUACCCUAUCCUUCGCCUGCUGGAGAAAGAGCUGUUUCGCUCAUCUCCUGGGAAGAAGCCUUCCGCUAUCCCUCAUCGCAACGAGCCCUGUGCCGUUUGAUCUUCGAAUGGAGGCGUGUUCAGCAGAGCAACAUCUUAACCGCCACAAUCUAUCUAUGCCUUUACAGCCAGCCCACCUGCGGGCAUCUCACAGAAGAACCACGCCAUUUUGUGUCUCUUGUUUCCUUUUUUGUUCUUGUUUAAGGCUAAUUUCAGUGCCGUGCCUGAUCGAACAAUGCACGCUUAGUGACACAUUGCCUUCCUGGAUUUCUUUGGGGAAAAUAUCUGGCCAAAACCGUUCCUUCUUCACGGAAGUCUUUGAUCAUGAACGAAAAAAAAUAAUAAAUCAAUUCGCAAGAUGGGCAGGGUUUUUUUUCUGACACAAAUUGCUGCACAUCUGCGCUGACAACUUGA